Molecule: small nucleolar RNA, 126 nt
Organism: Eutrema salsugineum
Lineage: Eukaryota; Viridiplantae; Streptophyta; Magnoliopsida; Brassicales; Brassicaceae
Source: Rfam
ACCAAUUCUGGGGAUAAAACUGUUCCUUCAGGUAUAAUGGCAUUGACGCAAGAUUAGGUUGUGGUAUAUCCUGAUCAUUUGGCCUUUUUUCUAUGUCAAUUGAUCCUGGAAAUGCCUCGCACAUUU